AUAGGAGUGAAUUUGUUGCUUUUUAAAGCGGCAGUCGGUCUGUACAUGUGUGAGGUGGCGAGGGGUGUCGCCAGGGGGCGGCUAGUAGCGUCUGCCACCAGGGAAAUAUGUAAAAACAUAAAAAAGACGCUUCUCAAGAAAGAGAGGGGCAGUCGGUCUGUACAUGCGUGAGGUGGCGAGAGGCGUGUCCAGGGGGCGGCUAGUAGCGUGUGCCACCGUGGAAAUAUGUACAGACAUAAAGAAGACGCCCUCAAGAAAGGCCUGAGUCCAGACCGAGACCCAGAGAAAUGUAAACAAACGCACCAGUCAGACUUGAUAUAGGAGUGAAUUUGUUGCUUUUUAAAGCGGCAGUCGGUCUGUACAUGUGUGAGGUGGCGAGGGGUGUCGCCAGGGGGCGGCUAGUAGCGUCUGCCACCAGGGAAAUAUGUAAAAACAUAAAAAAGACGCUUCUCAAGAAAGAGAGGGGCAGUCGGUCUGUACAUGCGUGAGGUGGCGAGGGGCGUGUCCAGGGGGCGGCUAGUAGCGUGUGCCACCAUGGAAAUAUGUACAGACAUAAAGAAGACGCCCUC
Scylla paramamosain (green mud crab) is the source of this 569-nucleotide long non-coding RNA. RefSeq lists it as uncharacterized. The record is from RefSeq and is a predicted model, not a curated record. NCBI's taxonomy places the organism in Eukaryota, Metazoa, Arthropoda, Malacostraca, Decapoda, Portunidae. The transcript is spliced from 4 exons.